UGUUAAAAAUUUUAUCCAUUUCUAUUAUUAAAAGCUGGCAUAGCUAACAAACUAACCAAAGAGCGACACGUGUACCUCAUGUUGAUAUAUAGGAUCAAUUUUUAAUAACAAAAAUGGAUGCAUUUUUAACA
Non-coding RNA from Gossypium raimondii (Peruvian cotton), 131 nucleotides. The record is from Rfam. Lineage: Eukaryota; Viridiplantae; Streptophyta; Magnoliopsida; Malvales; Malvaceae.